GUGAGGAAUAUUGGUCAAUGGGCGGGAGCCUGAACCAGCCAAGUCGCGUGAAGGAAGAAGGUCUUCGGAUCGUAAACUUCUAUCCUUGGUGAAGAUAAUGACGGUAGCCGAGAAGGAAGCCCCGGCUAACUACGUGCCAGCAGCCGCGGUAAUACGUAGGGGGCAAGCGUUGUCCGGAAUGAUUGGGCGUAAAGGGCGCGUAGGCGGCCUGGUAAGUCUGGAGUGAAAGUCCUGCUUUUAAGGUGGGAAUUGCUUUGGAUACUGUCGGGCUUGAGUGCAGGAGAGGUAAGUGGAAUUCCCGGUGUAGCGGUGAAAUGCGUAGAGAUCGGGAGGAACACCAGUGGCGAAGGCGACUUACUGGACUGUAACUGACGCUGAGGCGCGAAAGUGUGGGGAGCAAACAGGAUUAGAUACCCGAGUAGUCC
This 425-nucleotide ribosomal RNA is filed under the name uncultured bacterium. RNAcentral's name for it is "partial 16S ribosomal RNA". It matches the Rfam family "Bacterial small subunit ribosomal RNA", at positions 354 to 796 of the family's 1533-position model. The record is from RNAcentral.